GACGAACGCUGGCGGCGUGCUUAACACAUGCAAGUCGAACGGAAAGGCCCUGCUUGCCGGGUACUCGAGUGGCGAACGGGUGAGUAACACGUGGGUGGUCUGCCCUCCACUUCGGGAUAAGCCUGGGAAACUGGGUCUAAUACCGGAUAGGAGCCAUAUUUAGUGUGAUGGUUGGAAAGUUUUUUCGGUUUAGGAUGAGCUCGCGGCCUAUCAGCUUGUUGGUGGGGUAAUGGCCUACCAAGGCGGCUACGGGUAGCCGGCCUGAGAGGGUGACCGGCCACACUGAGACUGAGAGGCGGCCCAGACACCGACUGGAGGGAGAUGUGGGGAAUAUUGAACAAUGAGCGCAGGGCUGAUGAUGAGGCGCCGCGUGGGGGAUGACGCUGUUAGGGUUGUAAACUCCUUUCGCUAGGGACGAAGCUUGUUGUGACGGUACCUAGAGAAGAAGCACCGGCUAACUACGUG
RNAcentral lists this ribosomal RNA (465 nucleotides) under uncultured bacterium. RNAcentral describes it as "partial 16S ribosomal RNA". It matches the Rfam family "Bacterial small subunit ribosomal RNA", at positions 28 to 507 of the family's 1533-position model. The record is from RNAcentral.